UCUUUGAUGGUCUAGUGGUCAUGAUUUCCGCUUGUCACGCGGGAGACCGGGGUUCGAUUCCCCGUCAGAGAG
This 72-nucleotide transfer RNA is filed under the name Monilinia vaccinii-corymbosi. Its description in RNAcentral is "tRNA-Asp". It matches the Rfam family "tRNA". Rfam says of the family: Transfer RNA (tRNA) molecules are approximately 80 nucleotides in length. Their secondary structure includes four short double-helical elements and three loops (D, anti-codon, and T loops). Further hydrogen bonds mediate the characteristic L-shaped molecular structure. tRNAs have two regions of fundamental functional importance: the anti-codon, which is responsible for specific mRNA codon recognition, and the 3' end, to which the tRNAs corresponding amino acid is attached (by aminoacyl-tRNA synthetases). tRNAs cope with the degeneracy of the genetic code in two manners: having more than one tRNA (with a specific anti-codon) for a particular amino acid; and 'wobble' base-pairing, i.e. permitting non-standard base-pairing at the 3rd anti-codon position. The record is from RNAcentral. RNAcentral also lists the same sequence under 4 other names. Lineage: Eukaryota; Fungi; Ascomycota; Leotiomycetes; Helotiales; Sclerotiniaceae.